This 799-nucleotide ribosomal RNA is filed under the name uncultured Actinomycetes bacterium. RNAcentral describes it as "bacterial SSU rRNA". It matches the Rfam family "Bacterial small subunit ribosomal RNA", at positions 81 to 858 of the family's 1533-position model. The record is from RNAcentral. Lineage: Bacteria; Bacillati; Actinomycetota; Actinomycetes.
GGGGGACAAGUAGAGUGGCGCACGGGUGAGUAACACGUAGGUAAUCUACCUUUGGAUUGGGAAUAACAACCGGAAACGGUUGCUAAUACCGAAUAAUGCAGCGGCACCUAAUGGUGACAGUUGUUAAAGCGGGGGAUCGCAAGACCUCGCGUCUGAAGAGGAGCCUGCGGCGGAUUAGCUAGUUGGUAAGGUAACGGCUUACCAAGGCGAUGAUCCGUAGCCGGCCUGAGAGGGCGGUCGGCCACACUGACACUGACAUACGGGUCAGACUCCUACGGGAGGCAGCAGUCGGGAAUUUUGGGCAAUGGGCGAAAGCCUGACCCAGCAACGCCGCGUGAAGGAUGAAAUCCCUCGGGAUGUAAACUUCGCAAGAACGGGAAGAAUAAGUAGGGGACAAUACCCCCUAUGAUGACGGUACUGUUUGUAAGCUCCGGCUAACUCCGUGCCAGCAGCCGCGGUAAUACGGGGGGAGCAAGCGUUGUUCGGAUUUACUGGGCGUAAAGGGCGCGUAGGCGGCCACCGCAAGUCGACUGUGAAAUCUCCGGGCUUAACUCGGAAAGGUCAGCCGAUACUGCGGGGCUAGAGUGCAGAAGGGGCAACUGGAAUUCUCGGUGUAGCGGUGAAAUGCGUAGAUAUCGAGAGGAACACCUGCGGCGAAGGCGGGUUGCUGGGCUGACACUGACGCUGAAGUGCGAAAGCUAGGGGAGCGAACGGGAUUAGAUACCCCGGUAGUCCUAGCCUUAAACGAUGAAUGCUUGGUGUCUGGGGUUCUAUAGUCCCCGGGUGCCGUCGCUAACGC